This 1672-nucleotide small RNA is filed under the name Rattus norvegicus (Norway rat). Its description in RNAcentral is "uncharacterized LOC102555751". Lineage: Eukaryota; Metazoa; Chordata; Mammalia; Rodentia; Muridae. The record is from RNAcentral.
AACAAAACCAGCAGCCCAACCCCAAACUUGGGUUUUAAUCUCAGCUCCAAGUUAGAGCGUGAGCUAGUUGCAUGAGUCUAGAGGUAAGUUCCUUAUUUAUAAGCAGUAAACACUUAGCUUCAGAGAGUGUGUCCCAGUCGCUUACCACUGUAAAAGUUAAGGAACUGUUUCAUUCCUGUGUGCUGCUCAGGAAGUGACAGGCACCUGGGAAACCCACAAAGUAUAGUUUUGUAAGAAGUUGCUAAGCGUCCCGAGGAGACAGUGCCUGACUUCUUGCCAGUCCUUGAGGUAGCGAUGUGGGAAAUUACAACACAAGGUCUAGCAAGUAAUGUUUUCUGUUUUGCUCCUGGAGACCACAGUUGCUUAAAUUUCAUUCUCAACGUUUACCACUCCUCAGCAGUGCUGUUCUGCAGCGAGAGGAAGUUGGGUCUGGAGGUAUUAGUCAGGCUUUAUUAAAGCACACUUGAGGUGAGAACAGAAGCAUAUCAGAGUGGCAAGUAGAGCAUCCUGGGAAUUUGGCUAUGGGGAUUACGCAUUGAUGAACAAAUGUAUUCACAAAACUAUUUUCCUGGGAUCCUGUGCAUCCCCAUACUCUUCCACUGCCUGGAGAAGGACCAGUAUGUGAUCUCGGUUAUCUCAGUCUUGGCUAGAGAAGCAGUCAACACAGAGGCUCAUAACUGGGCUAUGUGCCGUGGAACAGCUUCUUGUUCAGACACUUUCUAAGGGCAAAAAAGGGCAAGUAGAAAACGACGGUGGAAAAAGCAUUUGGAGCAGGUUAGUCAUAGAGGAGAAAGUGUAAGUACAGUACUAUUUGCUAAGACCACAAUAGGAAGUGUGAUUGUGGUGUCCAUGCGUCCUUGUAUUGUAGAAGGAGAGGGCAGUGUUAAGUGACUGAAGCCUUCCUUUGAUACUUGUUGAUCCUUUCUAUAAGGAGGGAUGCCUCUUACACAGGCAGGGCUUAGCAGGUCGCCUGUCAGGACAAGCCCAGAGGUGGCAUUACUUGCUGUUUGCUGAUCAAUGAGUCUUUGGAGCUCUAAGAACUCAGGCUCAAGGAGUGACUCUGGGAAGAUGAGUUGUGUGGCUCUGCCCUGGAUUCCACAGUCUAGCACAGGACGGUGAUUUAGUGCCUCGUGACUCAAAAUCCCCAAAGCUUGCUUACUUUUCCUCAGCCUGCAGUGCCCAGAAUGGAGCUGUUGGCAAAUCGCAGUCCACACCCCCACUUUUCAAUCUUUUCGCUAAUUUCUUACUACUUCACUUGAGAGAGUCCCAGAAGAACGGUGUGAUGAUUCAUCAGCCCUACUUCCUCAUUUCUGCUGACAGAGAGCUAACUUUGUCUCCAUUUCCAUGGUCGUCCCAAAAGAGCAAAAACAAAACAACUUUAAAAAAAUUUUAAUUUGCUACGUUUGGUGCGAAGUGACUUCCUGUGAGCUGGAGAGGCCAAAGGCUGGAGAGACCCCACUGUAGCCCAUUCUAUGACUGAGAGAUCCGAGACCCCAAGAGCCUACAAGAUUUCCUGUUUCUACACAACCGCUCAGUAGCAUACAGAUUUGGGCAGGGAUCUGCUAGUUUUAGGCUGUGAUUUUCUGUAACUUUGUGGAUGAUAAAUAGAUCGAAGCUUAUCUGUGCUAUGUCACAAGGAAACACAUAACCAUAAAACUUUCUGGUGAGAGCA